Non-coding RNA from Dallia pectoralis (Alaska blackfish), 73 nucleotides. The record is from the annotation of a GenBank genome assembly. Lineage: Eukaryota; Metazoa; Chordata; Actinopteri; Esociformes; Umbridae.
UUGUGUGUACCUCAGUUGGGAGAACAUGGUGCCUACAAUGCCAAGGUUUCGGGUUCAAAUCCCUGUGGGGAAG